This 2176-nucleotide ribosomal RNA is filed under the name human gut metagenome. RNAcentral's name for it is "bacterial LSU rRNA". It matches the Rfam family "Bacterial large subunit ribosomal RNA", at positions 657 to 2812 of the family's 2925-position model. The record is from RNAcentral.
AGUGCGGAGCCGAAGCGAAAGCGAGUGUGAAUAGCGCGUCUAGUUCGUUGGAGUAGACCCGAAGCUGAGUGAUCUAUCCAUGGCCAGGUUGAAUCUGCGGUAACACGCAGUGGAGGACCGAACCAGUUCAUGUUGAAAAAUGUUUGGAUGAGCUGUGGAUAGGGGUGAAAGGCCAAUCAAACUCAGUGAUAGCUGGUUCUCUUCGAAAUAGCUUUAGGGCUAGCCUUGCGUAAAUAGUUUGCGGGGGUAGAGCUACUGAUUGUUCACGGGCCCUUACCGGGGUACCAAGAACUAUUAAACUCCGAAUACCGUAAACCGUACCGCAGGAGUCAGACUAUGGGGGAUAAGCUUCAUGGUCGAGAGGGAGACAGCCCAGACCGCCGGCUAAGGUCCCAAAUCUGGACUUAGUGGUUUGAAGGAUGUGAUGUUGCAUAAACAGCCAGGAUGUUGGCUUAGAGGCAGCCAUCAUUUAAAGAGUGCGUAAUAGCUCACUGGUCGAGUGAUAUCGCGCCGAAGAUGAUCGGGACUGAAGUCCAGAACCGAAGCCGCGGACCGUGAAUUUAUUCACGGUGGUAGAAGAGCGUUGUAUGCGGGUUGAAGCCGAAGAGUGAUCUGAGGUGGACUGCAUACAAGUGACCAUGCAGGCAUGAGUAGCGAAAAACCGGAUGAGAAUUCCGGUCACCGAAAACCUAAGGUUUCCCGGGGAAGGUUCGUCCGCCCGGGGUUAGUCGGAACCUAAGGCGAGGCCGAAAGGCGUAGUCGAUGGAGGACAGGUUAAUAUUCCUGUACCACCUUGCUGGAGUGAUGGAGGGACGCAGUAAGUCAGGCGAGCCAACUGCUGAAUAUGUUGGUCGAAUCCCGUAGGGCGUGUCAUAGGCAAAUCCGUGACACAACAGCCUGAGAGGCGUAAGGUAUCCGGGCGCAAGUCUGGAGAAUUCGCUGUGACUACACUGACGAGAAAAGCUUCUAAACGUCGAUAGCAGGGUGUCCGUACCGUAAACCGACACAGGUAGGUGAGGCGAGUAGCCUAAGGUGCGCGAGAGAAACCAACGUUAAGGAACUCGGCAAAUCAGCCCCGUAACUUCGGAAUAAGGGGUGCCGUUUCAGGUGGAGGGAUUUACUCCCCGAGCCCGGGACGGUUGCAAUAAAGAGGCCGGUGCGACUGUUUAACAAAAACAUAGCUCUAUGCUAACUCGUAAGAGGAUGUAUAUGGAGUGACACGUGACCAAUGCCAAAAGGUCAAUGGGAGAGGUUAGCGCAAGCGAAGCUUCGAUCUGAAGCCCUGGUGAAUGUCGGCCGUAACUAUAACGGUCCUAAGGUAGCGAAAUUCCUUGUCGGGUAAGUUCCGACCUGCACGAAUCGUGUAACGAUGCCGGCACUGUCUCAACGUGGAUCUCGGCGAAGUUGUAAUUCCGGUGAAAAUGCCGGAUACCUGCGGAAGGACGGAAAGACCCCAUGAACCUUUACUGUAAUCUGAUAUUGGUAUUUGAUUGCUCUUGUGUAGCAUAGGUGGGAGGCUGUGAAGCCGCUACGCCAGUACCGGUGGAGCCACAGGUGAAAUACCACCCUGGUGCAAUUAGAUAUCUAACGGAUGCCCGUGAAUCCGGACUCCGGACCGUGUCAGAGGGUCAGUUUGACUGGGGCGGUUUCCUCCUAAAUUGUAACGGAGGAGCCCGAAGGUACACUCAGCACGGUUGGCAAUCGUGUGUAGAGCGUAAGGGUAGAAGUGUGCUUUACUGUAAGACCGACAGGUCGAGCAGUUGCGAAAGCAGGGCCUAGUGAUCCAGCGAUGGAAUGUGGAAUCGUCGUUGCUCAACGGAUAAAAGGUACUCUGGGGAUAACAGGCUGAUAGCGCCCAAGCGUCCAUAGCGACGGCGCUGUUUGGCACCUCGAUGUCGACUCAUCACAUCCUGGGGCUGUAGAAGGUCCCAAGGGUUCGGCUGUUCGCCGAUUAAAGUGGUACGCGAGUUGGGUUCAGAACGUCGUGAGACAGUUCGGUCCUUAUCCUCCGCAGGCGCAGGAUAUUUGAUGGGAUCAUUCCUUAGUACGAGAGGACCGGGAAUGACUGACCUCUGGUGUUCCGGUUGUGGCGUCAGCUGCACUGCCGGGUAGCUAUGUCGGGAACGGAUAAGCGCUGAAAGCAUCUAAGCGCCAAGCCCACCCAAAGACGAGAUAU